UACGUAGGUGGCAAGCGUUGUCCGGAUUUACUGGGCGUAAAGAGCGCGCAGGCGGUCGUUCAAGUCGCGUGUGAAAGCCCCCGGCUCAACUGGGGAGGGUCACGCGAUACUGAUCGACUCGAAGGCAGGAGAGGGUAGUGGAAUUCCCGGUGUAGUGGUGAAAUGCGUAGAUAUCGGGAGGAACACCGGUGGCGAAGGCGGCAUCCUGGACCGGCAUUGACGCUGAGGCGCGAAAGCUAGGGGAGCAAACGGG
This 253-nucleotide ribosomal RNA is filed under the name uncultured bacterium. RNAcentral's name for it is "partial 16S ribosomal RNA". It matches the Rfam family "Bacterial small subunit ribosomal RNA", at positions 524 to 776 of the family's 1533-position model. The record is from RNAcentral.